This is a long non-coding RNA of Drosophila sechellia, 2523 nucleotides long. RefSeq lists it as uncharacterized. The record is from RefSeq and is a predicted model, not a curated record. NCBI's taxonomy places the organism in Eukaryota, Metazoa, Arthropoda, Insecta, Diptera, Drosophilidae. The transcript has 2 exons.
UAUCCGCUGCGGGAAAUCGCUAAUUUGUAUUUAGCUAUUUACCUGCAACAGACAUACAUUCAACUCGCGUGAUGGCUGCGCCAAGAUAUGUCACGUCUCCACCGUGUGGUUCCGCCAAUUUGCCGCACACACCGGACGACUCAACUCCGAAAAUUAUGAUUGUUUCGCGCAGCGUUAACAUAAUACGUCCGUCUGCACGGCGAUGUAGACUUCGUCUCCCCAAAAAGUUCCUUGGGAACAGGCGAAGCGGCAAAAAGGACCAACAAAGCCCCUGGUAUUAAUGGCAUCUGAGGCUGCUGCGAACGCUAAACCGGAAGUCAUUGUGUUUUUGUGAAUUUUGUGACAGUCUUUUUAAAGACUUGCGAAAUUUCCAAGCCGGUUUUUGCAUUUAUUAGAAUUAACCAGAUACUGGAAUUUCGUGCAGUGUCAUUUGUGCUGUCUCAAGGAAUUUGAAGUGAUAAACAAGCAAGGAAUAUGAACACAAGGAUGAGAAAAAUAGCUUGAGCAAGCCCUGCAACAAUUCGCACACAGAUAUUAAACGGCGCAACUUCAUCAAAUGAUAGUUUACCGCCGCAAGAUUGUUCCAAUCAGUCAGAAAACUAAGAAGCAGGCUUCUCAGCCGCCAUCUUAUGUUGAAACACCCUCAUUGUCUUCACUAAUUAAUAACCGAUUUGCAGCCUUGGCUGAAGAAGCAGAUCGAAUCAUGCAAGUAGACCUGCCUGAAAGUAUUUGUGAUGAAGAUGAAGCAACUCCAGCUGCUCCCUACCUUUGUUGCUCAUGGCAACACUGUCAAUUCCAAAAAGGGUGAAAGCCUUACUCAAGGAUUUAUUCCGGCUGAGGCCAUCAGAAGUAAAAUUUCAUACGCCGAUGUUGUACGGCCCAAAGGUCCUCAAUUUUUUCGAUCACUUGCUACUCGCCACCACCACAGUGAAUUAGACUCAUCACAAGACUUAGGCCUUAGAAAAAGUUUCGGGCACUGGAAAGCGCCAUCAGGGAUAUAAGCUCGAGAAUGGAAAAAAUGUUCAAGCUAAUAGAGGAAACGGCGGAAUCUAACAAGAUAGAACUCUGAGAAUCUUCAGCUUUUCCUAAGUAUGCAAAAUAUUGAUGUUAUGCUUGCCACUGAAACACACGUUCGGGAAGGAAAACGCAUCUUCCUACCUGGUUACUCCACCUACCACGCCAUGCACCCCAGUGGAAACAGCAGAGGUGGAGCCACUGUCAUAGUGCGCUCUUCCUUGAAUCUUUGUCCCCAACCUCCAAUCUCAACCAACGACCGGCAGGUAGCGAGUGUGCAGCUGCAGACUUCAGAGGGAACGGUUACUUUGGCAUCGGUGUAUCUCCCACCCAGCGAGUAGUUGAUAAAAGCUUAUAUUGAGUGACAAAUUGGUGACAAAUUUAUAGCAGGUGGAGACUACAAUGCCAAAAAUAAUUGGUCGGGAAACUCAAGAGCCUGCGCUAGAGGCAAACUCAUACAGGAUGUAGUCGCAAACGGCCACUACCAAUUUUUGGCAACUGGAGAGCCAACAUUUUUCUCCUCCAACCCACAGGUAGCUCCAUCUGGAUUCGAUAUUUUUAUAACCAAGGGCUACAUGCCAUGCCACUGAAGAAGUCUCUACGUUCCCGUUUCCCAGCUCCUGGUACUCAUGUCGAGACUUUCAAGGUUCACCUGUCUGAACUAAUCGACUUAAGCAUGGAAAUUCAAGGUAAAGAAGGUAUUGACCACGCCAUAAGCUUAUUAAUGGAAAAACUGAAAGAAGCAGGAGCACAUGCUGCACCGAGUACUCCACGCAAUACGCAAACCUUUGUUUAACCGCUCAUACCUUCGGCAAUAGUUGACCUUCUCCAAUGACCCUAAGCAUAAGGCGCCUAAUGUGCGGAACUGGUUCCUUUACAACUGGUAAAGGACGUGAUCGGUUUGCCGGCUUUAGGGCGUUAGAGGGGCGUGGCAAAAAGUUGUUUGGCAAAUCAAUAGAAAUUUAAGCGACUAAUAAAAUUAUGAAAAAAGUAUGGCGUGCGUUUGUCCCUUACGUUUUAUAACGACGGACAGCCAUUUCUAUUCAAGUUUUCAACACGACUCCCAUUUUUGUAACGUCCUUUACAGGUUGGAUUAGUGCCAUUCUCUGAUCAUAUUUUUUUCGAUAGGAUUUUCUUUCUUUAAAGUGUAUAUUAAAAGUUAUUAUACCCGUUAGUCGUAGACUAAUAGGAUAUACUAAAUUUGUUAAAAAGGAUGGUAGAAGGAUGGGUCGGCCGGAAUCCGAAGGCCAAGAUGGUUUUCUUCCAUUUCUGACGGUUCGACGAAGCAGUGAGACAGAGGAGUUUUUUUUUAUUUUACAGCGAAAAGGGAAUGUUCAACUGGGUCUUGGAAAUGAAUAAACUCGAAGUCGCUUUACUUUAAGAGCCGGUCAAGAGGGAGAAUGUAAUGCAGCCCAAUAUUGAAGGGUUUUUAAGAAAAAAUUGAAUAAUCCAGAAGAGUAAAAUAAAUCAAAAGUGGCGCAGCAGUGUCUACCCAUUAUUUUGUUUUUA